GGUCCCGGGACCCACAGCAAUGGCGCAGCCGGAAACUAGCCCCUCGACUUCCUCACGCCGGACUCCGAGCUGGGGCCGGCCUGUGGGCGGUACGCAAGGGACUCGACUUCCGCCUUCCUGCUUCCGGUCUGGCGAAUUUAACGCUCUCAGAAGUAUACUGUGGAACCAAAGAAGGCAAAACCACCAAGGGUCAUCAGAAAUUGUGCUUGGCUCACUGAUAAUCCCGGGACAAAAUUAGAGAUCACUACUCAAGCAUAAGCUGACCCCCCAGUU
RNAcentral lists this long non-coding RNA (273 nucleotides) under Marmota marmota marmota (Alpine marmot). RNAcentral describes it as "lncRNA (ENSMMMG00000008023.1)". Lineage: Eukaryota; Metazoa; Chordata; Mammalia; Rodentia; Sciuridae. The record is from RNAcentral.